This 405-nucleotide ribosomal RNA is filed under the name uncultured bacterium. RNAcentral describes it as "partial 16S ribosomal RNA". It matches the Rfam family "Bacterial small subunit ribosomal RNA", at positions 30 to 526 of the family's 1533-position model. The record is from RNAcentral.
AUUGAACGCUAGCGGGAUGCUUUACACAUGCAAGUCGAACGAGUGGCGGACGGGAGAGUAAUAUAUCGGAACGUGCCCAGUAGCGGGGGAUAACUAAUCGAAAGUGUGGCUAAUACCGCCUACUAUUGGAGCGGCCGAUAUCGGUUGAGCUAGUUGGUUGGGUAAAUGCUCACCAAGGCAACUAUCCGUAACUGGUUGGAGAGGACGACCAUCCACACGGGGACUGAGACACGGCCCAGACUCCUACGGGAGGCAGAAGUGGGGAAUUUUGGACAAUGGGGGAAACCCUGAUCCAGCCAUCCCGCGUGUAUGAGAAGGCCUUCGGGUUGUAAAGUACUUUUGGCAGAGAAGCGGUAUCUGCAGAAUAAGCACCGGCGAACUACGUGCCAGCAGCCGCGGUAAUUC